This 140-nucleotide non-coding RNA is filed under the name Candidatus Brevifilum fermentans. The record is from RNAcentral. Lineage: Bacteria; Bacillati; Chloroflexota; Anaerolineae; Anaerolineales; Anaerolineaceae.
UAAUACAAUUUCAUAAAGGGUACACCUCACGCCCGGAUGCAAGGUGUAAAAAAGGGGAAGCUGGUGAAAGUCCAGCGCUGUCCCGCAACGGUAACACGAUUGGUGGAGCCCGACAACCUGCCCUUUAUGUCCCAAACAAC